AGUGUAACAGGUUAAUUAUUCACCUUCAUUUAUACAAUAACAAAACCUACAAGCAUAUUCUUUUCGGUUCCCAGCUUGUCGCUUUUGCCUCUUCAUAAAAACAACAGUACAUCAUUAUUACAAAAGAACGAGUCCUAAGAAACGUGGUUUGAAACCCAACCCAUGGGGGCUGGAGAGUUAACACCCAGAAAGGGGAGGUUUGGUUUCCUCUCCCAGAGACAGCAGGAAAAAACCACCCACAACCCUCCUCCUCCUCCUGCCCCCUAAAGCAUCGACGGCCACUGAGUGGCCGCCGAUGCUUUAGGGGGCAGGAGGAGGGUUGUGCAUGGGAGGGAAAGAGGGAGGAAAAGAGGAAUGAAGGAGGGAAGGAUGUGCACAGGAGGGAGGGUUAGCGAAGAAAGGGGGAAUGGAGGAGGGAGGUACGGAGGAGGCAAGCCGGAGGGGCAGGCAGGAGAGGAAGAGAAGAAAGGGGGCAUAAGGAAGCAGCACGGAUGGGCGGAGGGGCAGCGAGAGAAGAGUGGGGAACUUUGAAGAAUUUGGUGAUGGCCUGGCAUUACUGAUCAGACAGAGCCUGGACCAGUGCCACAGUGGAAAUUGUGUACUUGGCAAGCAAGGCCCUUCGGCAUUGUUCCACAUGAUCCCAAGUGAACCAAGCAAGAGGUAUUUGACCUACUUGGAUUCUGUGGAAAACAUCUAUUGACAAUGGGAAUUCGAGCAAUGAUUUCUUCUGCAGUAUCCUCUCUUUGCAAAUGCAUCCGCCUGGGAACCUCAGACAGCACAGGACUGGAUUAAGAAUCCUGCCUUCAGGAAGACCAGUGGUAAAAAUGAAUGCUUCAGUUCUGAUUGCCAUGGCCCAACUUCUCCAGGCCUGAAACACAAAGCUCCCCUUCCUUGUACUGCAUUCCAUUGUACCUGUUUCUCACUCACCUAAUGUUCUCCAAGGAUUUUCUCAUGUCAUUACUGUAUUGCAGUUACUAUCAGAAAGCAGACUACCUGUUGUUCAAGAAUUCUUGAAAACAAUGAUGCCAAUGCAGUGUCAUAAUUUUAGGACCACUUCACAGAAAAUAUCUGAGGUAAAUAUUUAGAUACUGUGUGAAGAUAAAUAUUCUGUCUCUGUUCUCAGUAUUUGACCCUUGCUUCAAAAGGGGGAAAAUUAGGAAAACACUUUUAAAGACAAAAUUUGCAAGGCAGAAAACAAAGUAAAAUAACUUUUCAGAAGGAAAAUUGUAUAACUACUUUAUUAGAAUACAUUGCAUUUUUAAGACACUUUUCCUUCUAAAUAUUAAUGAAGUUAAUUAGAAGCAGCUAGUUAGAUACUUAUUCAUUUUCUCUAUCCAAACUACAUUGUAGUAAAUUACUGGCUGCCAAAAUUCUUCUUUGAAAUAAGUCAGUGGCAAAAAGAAUUAAAAAGUGAGCAAAAAAAGAAUAUAUGUAGUAAGAUAUAGAAAUAUUGAAACACACUGUAUUUUCACACAACUGUCCAUUUUUUUACCCUCACCCAUCAAUUUUCCCACUCUUCUUCCUUCCCAAAUCACCUAAACUUCCUCCUUUUCCUGCCUCUGUAUCCUCCCCUAAAUAUGUAGUAAAUCCUGUACAACUUGAAAAUUCUUUUCUCCUGUAUUGAGUGAUGUAUCCCACCCCUAGGCAGCACCUUGGCUAAGUCUGAAAGGGGAUCUAGAAAGCUGCUUGCUUGCAGCACCUUGUCAUGAUGGCUUUUCCAACUGGACACUGGGUCCCUCUGGGACAGUCCAGGGAGGGGCCUGAAUCAAGUGUUUGUUUCUUGGUAAUCCUUGGUUGAGGCUGUGCUGUGGUCUGUAGGACCAGGGCAUGGAUUGUCCCCUUGGAGCACUGGUGAGGUCACACCUCAAAUCCUGUGUUCAGUUUUGGGCCCCUCACUACAAGAAAGACAGUGAGGUGCUGGAGCCUGUCCAGAGAAGGUCAACAGAGCUGGAGAAAGGUCUGGUGUGC
This is a long non-coding RNA of Prinia subflava (tawny-flanked prinia), 1968 nucleotides long. RefSeq lists it as uncharacterized. The transcript has 3 exons. NCBI's taxonomy places the organism in Eukaryota, Metazoa, Chordata, Aves, Passeriformes, Cisticolidae. The record is from RefSeq and is a predicted model, not a curated record.